Molecule: transfer RNA, 81 nt
Filed under: Oryctolagus cuniculus (rabbit)
Lineage: Eukaryota; Metazoa; Chordata; Mammalia; Lagomorpha; Leporidae
Rfam family: tRNA
About the family: Transfer RNA (tRNA) molecules are approximately 80 nucleotides in length. Their secondary structure includes four short double-helical elements and three loops (D, anti-codon, and T loops). Further hydrogen bonds mediate the characteristic L-shaped molecular structure. tRNAs have two regions of fundamental functional importance: the anti-codon, which is responsible for specific mRNA codon recognition, and the 3' end, to which the tRNAs corresponding amino acid is attached (by aminoacyl-tRNA synthetases). tRNAs cope with the degeneracy of the genetic code in two manners: having more than one tRNA (with a specific anti-codon) for a particular amino acid; and 'wobble' base-pairing, i.e. permitting non-standard base-pairing at the 3rd anti-codon position.
Source: Rfam by way of RNAcentral
GGUGCUGUGGCUUAGUGGGUAAAGCCACUGCCUGCAAUGCUGGCAUCCCUUAUGGCUCGGGUUUGAGUCCUGGCACCUCUU